GAUGAACGCUGGCGGCGUGCCUAAUACAUGCAAGUCGAGCGAACAGACGAGGAGCUUGCUCCUCUGACGUUAGCGGCGGACGGGUGAGUAAAACGUGGAUAACCUACCUAUAAGACUGGGAUAACUUCGGGAAACCGGAGCUAAUACCGGAUAAUAUAUUGAACCGCAUGGUUCAAUAGUGAAAGACGGUUUUGCUGUCACUUAUAGAUGGAUCCGCGCCGCAUUAGCUAGUUGGUAAGGUAACGGCUUACCAAGGCAACGAUGCGUAGCCGACCUGAGAGGGUGAUCGGCCAAACUGGAACUGAGACACGGUCCAGACUCCUACGGGAGGCAGCAGUAGGGAAUCUUCCGCAAUGGGCGAAAGCUGGACGGAGCAACGCCGCGUGAGUGAUGAAGGUCUUCGGAUCGUAAAACUCUGUUAUUAGGGAAGAACAAAUGUGUAAGUAACUAUGCACGUCUUGACGGUACCUAAUCAGAAAGCCACGGCUAACUACGUG
This 497-nucleotide ribosomal RNA is filed under the name uncultured bacterium. RNAcentral's name for it is "partial 16S ribosomal RNA". It matches the Rfam family "Bacterial small subunit ribosomal RNA", at positions 28 to 507 of the family's 1533-position model. The record is from RNAcentral.